GAGCGAAAAAUACGGUAUUUUUAAAAGAAUUUACUUGCAAAGGAAAUGUAUGUCUUAGGUUGUAGCAAGUUCUUUUAAAUUCUCCUGGUUCUAAGGAAGGUUCCAUGAUAAUGAUUCUGUGUUCAUGCAGAUGUCACCAGGAUUCCAAGCUACAUGGGCACCUGAGUGUAUGGUUAUCUUAUGUGAAGUAGUAGGAACAUGACUUGAUACAGUUUUUGGUUAUACCCCUUGGGUUGAGGGAUCCCACUUCACAUAAACUAAUAACUUUACAGUUAAGUACUUACACAGUUACAGUCUUGGUACUAUGAGUGCCAGUACAAUUAUAAAUUAUAGCUGCUGUAAUUCAUCCAAAGGCAUUUCACUACUAUUAAAUAUCACUGUGCUGAUCAUAUUUCAAAACUAUGUUUUCUAAAUUUGGGGGAGGGGAGCUGUUGAUACAGAAGUGCAUUUGUUUUUGUAAAUAACCCUACAUAGUAUAAAUAAGCAGUUCAUGUUUAUCACCACAGUGAGCUCAACUAUUGAAGUAUUUUGUUAGUUCAGAUACCGCAAGGGGCCCUUAACCUUAUUCUGAUCAUAUGAACACAAAUUAUGUAGUCCUGCGGACACCAGUGGUACCAGAAAAUGAGAGAGCUAAUUUCAAACCUGGCAGAUUGAGAGCAAUGUGUGUGCCAGGACAAUGAUUGCGGAGAGACAAUACUAGCAACAGUUCCAGAAAUACUUAAGCAGUGGCUUAUAAAGGUCUACUUAACAGCUACUUAUAAAGUCUUCCAGUAUACAUAAACAGUUGAUGUGAGUGCUGCAACUGUAGCAAACCUGUCCUGUGAUGUACUCCUGAAAAGAUUGCCCUUCCAUACGCAACAUCCUCUUGAAAGACAAAAUAGGCUGGGAUCAUCACAAAGAAACUUUGGUCUCUGAUUCACAAUGUAUUUCAUACAGAGGUGAAGAAAGGAGCAGUUUCUUAGAUGUCAAGAGACAAGCAGAUUCAUGGUGGAGGAAAACAUCUUCAUUUUUGUUCUUUUUGUUCCCCUCUUUUCAGCCCCCUCUCCUUUCCUUUUUUGUAUUGUGGAUUCUUGAAUGCAGUUUCUUCUCUUUUCCAGAAUAGGUAGUGCAGUCACCAAAACUGUUUGAUAUCCCCUAUAAAAUUAGUAAGAUAUAUUGGUUGUGGGAGAGGGGAAUAGUUGUAUUAUUAAUUUCUUUCUGAGAUAUGUCUUUCUCAAAAUAUGUAACAGGCAAAGAAAAGUUCCAGUUUUAUACAGAACUUGAACCUUAUGUGCAUCUUCUUCAAUGUUUCUUCCUCUUCUCCUUGGCAACGGUGCAUAAUAGAGACAGUAUUUAACAAUAAAAAUGUUUCGCUGUGAAUCUUGAGAAAUGGAUUCAA
This is a non-coding RNA of Pogona vitticeps (central bearded dragon), 1378 nucleotides long. The record is from RefSeq and is a predicted model, not a curated record. Lineage: Eukaryota; Metazoa; Chordata; Lepidosauria; Squamata; Agamidae.